This 284-nucleotide ribosomal RNA is filed under the name uncultured prokaryote. RNAcentral's name for it is "partial 16S ribosomal RNA". It matches the Rfam family "Bacterial small subunit ribosomal RNA", at positions 524 to 817 of the family's 1533-position model. The record is from RNAcentral.
UACGUAGGUGGCGAGCGUUGUCCGGAUUUACUGGGCGUAAAGGAUGCGUAGGUGGAAAUUUAAGUCGGAUGUGAAAUCCCCGGGCUCAACCCGGGAACUGCAUUCCAAACUGGAUUUCUUGAGUACAGGAGAGGAAAGCGGAAUUCCUAGUGUAGCGGUGAAAUGCGUAGAUAUUAGGAGGAACACCAGUGGCGAAGGCGGCUUUCUGGACUGUAACUGACGCUGAGUCACGAAAGCGUGGGUAGCAAACAGGAUUAGAUACCCCCGUAGUCCCUGAGCGGGCU